GAUCUUCGGCAAUGGGCGCAAGCCUGACCGAGCGACGCCGCGUGCGCGAUGAAGGCCUUCGGGUUGUAAAGCGCUGUCGAGGGGGAGGAAGCCGAAAGGUUGACCUAUCCCUGGAGGAAGCACGGGCUAAGUUCGUGCCAGCAGCCGCGGUAAGACGAACCGUGCAAACGUUGUUCGGAAUCACUGGGCUUAAAGGGCGCGUAGGCGGGGGACCAAGUCCGGGGUGAAAUCUUUCGGCUCAACCGGAAAACUGCCUUGGAUACUGGUCUUCUUGAGGGAGGUAGGGGCAGGUGGAACUUCCGGUGGAGCGGUGAAAUGCGUUGAUAUCGGAAGGAACGCCGGUGGCGAAAGCGACCUGCUGGAUCUCUUCUGACGCUGAUGCGCGAAAGCUAGGGGAGCGAAC
Molecule: ribosomal RNA, 403 nt
Filed under: uncultured bacterium
Lineage: Bacteria
Description: bacterial SSU rRNA
Rfam family: Bacterial small subunit ribosomal RNA
Source: RNAcentral